Monodelphis domestica (gray short-tailed opossum) is the source of this 2013-nucleotide long non-coding RNA. NCBI's taxonomy places the organism in Eukaryota, Metazoa, Chordata, Mammalia, Didelphimorphia, Didelphidae. The record is from Ensembl.
CCUUGAGUUAGAAUGAGAUUCUCUGCUGUAUCUUUGGUCUUUGGUCUGCUGGUGAUCAUCACUAACUCUUCAUGCCAAAGUAAGAAUUUUCAAUAUGCAUUUUUCUAAAUAUUUCUUUGGUGGGGGAGAAUUUAAUUGGCUAUGUAAGAUUGUUUAGUCAAGUCACACUCCACAGCUAAUGGAUUUUGAUCUUUGUUACUGAGUUGUGCCCAAACUCUUCAUGACCCCUUUGGAGUUUUCUUCACAAGGAUAUUGGCAUGAUUUGCCAUUUCUUUUUCUAGUUCAUUUUGCAGAUGAAGAAACUGAGGCAAACAGGAUUAAGUGACUUGCCUAGGGUCACAAAGUAAGUGUCUGAAGCUGAAUUUCAACUCAGAAAGAUGAGUCUUCCUGUCUUCAGAUCAGGCAUUCUAUACACUGUACUACAUAGCUCCUCUGCUGGAUAGAAUACUAUUUGGUUAAGACUAAAAUUGAACUAGGCUCUCCUAAAGCUCAGUGUACUUCCAUAAAAGGUGGGUGAUUCUGGAUGAGGCCAGAUUUCAACCUUAGACUUCCCUCUCUAGGCCUGGCUCUCUAUCCAACUGCCCGAAAUCUUAACAUUUCUAAUUUUUAACAUUUCUAAAUUUUGAGCUGUCCAGUAAUUCAUUCCUCUGAGAUUCAAAUUACUUGUACUUAUCAGAAUAAACUAGAUGCUGUUGGGUGAUAUUUUUUUUGUUGCCGCAGGGUAUCUAACAUCUACCAACAAUAAACAGUGCAAGUGCCUCAAGCCAACACUUGAGACUGUCUCUCCAGGCCUCGUUCAGAUAAUUGUUCUGGAACUACCUAAAGAAGGUUGCAAACAUGUGGAAAUCACAAAAAUAAUUGCAUUAUCAAAGCCUCCUAAAACACCACACCUAAGGCUUUCUAAGCCUUCACACCUAAGGCCUCCUAAGCUACCACACCUAAAGCCUCUUCACCUACCACACCUAAAGCCUCCUCAGCCAACACACCUAAAGCCUCCUGAGAUACCAUACCUAAAUCCUUCUAAGAACCAUACCUCUGGACAUGAAGAUAUGAUCAUCUGAGCUCCCGUACCUUUGUGUUAAGAAUUUCUGUAACUUUUACUAAUUUUUUUUUUGUUACAAUUAAAGGCUCUUUCAAGUACUUCUUCCUAGGAACAAAUAGUCAAAAUGAUCUUUCUGAAGCAAUCCAGCAAAACACUUAUUUUAUAUAGCUUUAAUUGGUAAUUGGAAAAAAAUAAGUAGGUCGAUUGGAUAUCCUUUGCUUUUAGAUUCAGUAAAUUAGUUCCUUAGAAAUGUUUAAAGUUUCUUUCAUAAUCUUAACCAAUAAUAGAAAUAAGACUAAUUAUGUCAAGGCCCCAGUUCUAAUGUUGAGACUUUCCUCUAAAUUAAAGGGUAGCUUAAACAUCAAUCACAUUGGAGAAGGUGAUAUGAAUUAGGAAGGGAAGCAAGGAAUCUUUCUUUACCAGAGGAUUUCUGAAAUUACUAGGAGAGAAAGCUACUCAGGGAAUUCAUAUGAUUUCAGUCAGAGUAUGUGGAGGAAUUUAUGGGCAAUUGAACCUCCCAGUCAUACAUUAAGUAAAAAUAUUGUGAUUUUGACCAUAAAAAUUUCCUCCACUUUAUAGGCUGAUGGAGGAAAGUAAAGUGAUGGUACGUGUUAUGCCUUUGACAUUGACAGUCUGCCAGAUGAUAGGUGUGACAAAGCAACCUGAUUCUACAGAUUGUGGAUGAAAUCCAACCUUUGAUGUUUACUCCUUAUAUAACCUUAAUUAGUCACUGAAUCUUUCUGGUCUGAGGAUCUCUCAUCUCUAAAUUGUAAGGAAUAUUCUAUAUCUAGGAUCCCUCGAAAAAGGCCCCCAGAAUCAAACCCAGAGCAGUUGGGGUUAUUUACAACAAUGCUUGUCUUACAGAUCUCUGUCAUAUAGCAAGGAAUAGAUAAUUUUGAACAUUGAUUUUUUUUUAAAUGUACCACUAAUGUGCUUCAAUAAAAUUAAACUGAUAUUUUACUUAAUUGUCA